This 169-nucleotide ribosomal RNA is filed under the name uncultured Alphaproteobacteria bacterium. Its description in RNAcentral is "partial 16S ribosomal RNA". It matches the Rfam family "Bacterial small subunit ribosomal RNA", at positions 338 to 524 of the family's 1533-position model. Lineage: Bacteria; Pseudomonadati; Pseudomonadota; Alphaproteobacteria. The record is from RNAcentral.
CCUACGGGAGGCAGCAGUAGGGAAUCUUGCACAAUGGGCGAAAGCCUGAUGCAGCCAUGCCGCGUGAACGAUGAAGGCCUUAGGGUUGUAAAAUUCUUUCAUCAGGGAUGAUAAUGACAGUACCUGAAGAAGAAGCCCCGGCUAACUUCGUGCCAGCAGCCGCGGUAAU